GGUAUGGGCUUUGCUCAUUGUUGAAGGCUGUACGGUGACCUAUAGUGGUUAAUCAUGUUAAUGUUUGUGUCAUUUUGGUCUCUUUGUGGGUAGUUGUCUCAUUAGCAAUCAAACCACAUCUUCUUUUUUAUAUAUUAUGAUUAAUGAUACUGUGAAAUUUGGUAACCUUUAUUUUUUAUAUGCAGCAUAUAAAAAAGACAAUACUUGUACACA
This 213-nucleotide long non-coding RNA is filed under the name Mytilus galloprovincialis (Mediterranean mussel). Lineage: Eukaryota; Metazoa; Mollusca; Bivalvia; Mytilida; Mytilidae. The record is from RNAcentral.